Molecule: non-coding RNA, 29 nt
Filed under: Mus musculus (house mouse)
Lineage: Eukaryota; Metazoa; Chordata; Mammalia; Rodentia; Muridae
Source: RNAcentral
GGAAAGAUUUCUGGUCUUCUGAGGGUAGA